AAGCCCUUACCCAUCUCUCUGA
This 22-nucleotide microRNA is filed under the name Monodelphis domestica (gray short-tailed opossum). Its description in RNAcentral is "mdo-miR-7374b-5p". Lineage: Eukaryota; Metazoa; Chordata; Mammalia; Didelphimorphia; Didelphidae. The record is from miRBase by way of RNAcentral.